Molecule: ribosomal RNA, 432 nt
Filed under: uncultured bacterium
Lineage: Bacteria
Description: partial 16S ribosomal RNA
Rfam family: Bacterial small subunit ribosomal RNA
Source: RNAcentral
AACGAACGCUGGCGGCAUGCCUAACACAUGCAAGUCGAACGAGACCUUCGGGUCUAGUGGCGCACGGGUGCGUAACGCGUGGGAACCUGCCCUUAGGUUCGGAAUAACUCCCCGAAAGGGGUGCUAAUACCGGAUAAUGUCUUCGGACCAAAGAUUUAUCGCCUUUGGAUGGGCCCGCGUUGGAUUAGCUAGUUGGUAGGGUAAAAGCCUACCAAGGCGACGAUCCAUAGCUGGUCUGAGAGGAUGAUCAGCCACACUGGGACUGAGACACGGCCCAGACUCCUACGGGAGGCAGCAGGGGGGAAAUUGGGAAAAGGGGCGAAAGCCUGAUCCAGCAAUGCCGGGGGAGGGAGAAAGGCCUUAGGGUUGUAAAGCUUUUUUCCCCGGGAUGAUAAUGACAGUACCGGGAGAAUAAGCCCCGGCUAACUCCGU